This 497-nucleotide ribosomal RNA is filed under the name uncultured bacterium. RNAcentral describes it as "partial 16S ribosomal RNA". It matches the Rfam family "Bacterial small subunit ribosomal RNA", at positions 28 to 507 of the family's 1533-position model. The record is from RNAcentral.
GAUGAACGCUGUCGGCGUGCCUAAUACAUGCAAGUCGAGCGAACGGACGAGAAGCUUGCUUCUCUGAUGUUAGCGGCGGACGGGUGAGUAACACGUGGAUAACCUACCUAUAAGACUGGGAUAACUUCGGGAAACCGGAGCUAAUACCGGAUGAUAUUUUGAACCGCAUGGUUCAAAAGUGAAAGACGGUCUUGCUGUCACUUAUAGAUGGAUCCGCGCUGCAUUAGCUAGUUGGUAAGGUAACGGCUUACCAAGGCAACGAUGCAUAGCCGACCUGAGAGGGUGAUCGGCCACACUGGAACUGAGACACGGUCCAGACUCCUACGGGAGGCAGCAGUAGGGAAUCUUCCGCAAUGGGCGAAAGCCUGACGGAGCAACGCCGCGUGAGUGAUGAAGGUCUUCGGAUCGUAAAACUCUGUUAUUAGGGAAGAACAUAUGUGUAAGUAACUGUGCACAUCUUGACGGUACCUAAUCAGAAAGCCACGGCUAACUACGUG